Molecule: signal recognition particle RNA, 260 nt
Filed under: Callithrix jacchus (white-tufted-ear marmoset)
Lineage: Eukaryota; Metazoa; Chordata; Mammalia; Primates; Cebidae
Description: Metazoan signal recognition particle RNA (ENSCJAG00000086293.1)
Rfam family: Metazoan signal recognition particle RNA
About the family: The signal recognition particle (SRP) is a universally conserved ribonucleoprotein. It is involved in the co-translational targeting of proteins to membranes. The eukaryotic SRP consists of a 300-nucleotide 7S RNA and six proteins: SRPs 72, 68, 54, 19, 14, and 9.
Source: Rfam by way of RNAcentral
GCUGGGCAUGGUGGCGCGUGUGUGUAAUCCCAGCUACUCGGGAGGCUGAGGCAGGAGAAUUGCCUGAACCCAGGAGGCGGAGGUUGCGGUGAGCCGAGAUGGCGCCAUUGCACUCCAGCCUGGGUAACGAGAGUGAAACUCUGUCUCAAAAAAAAAAAAAGAUGGACUUUUGCUCUUGUUGCCCUGGCUAGAGUGCAAUGGCGCCAUCUCAGCUCACUGCAACCUCCGCCUCCCGGGUUCAAGUGAUUCUCCUGCCUCAG